Vicia villosa (hairy vetch) is the source of this 779-nucleotide long non-coding RNA. RefSeq lists it as uncharacterized. The transcript is spliced from 5 exons. The record is from RefSeq and is a predicted model, not a curated record. Lineage: Eukaryota; Viridiplantae; Streptophyta; Magnoliopsida; Fabales; Fabaceae.
CGUUCUUCUUCUUCAUCCUUCACCCUUCUCCCAACUUUCCUUCAAAACCCUAAAUCCCUAAAUUCCAUCCAUAUGUUCUUCUUCUGCAACCUUCUCCCAAAUUGGACAUACUCCGUAAUUCUUCAAAUCAUAUGUUCUUCUAUCUUCUUCCACUUUCGAUUUUUGUUUACUCUCUCUGCGAACCUGCGAACAGAUGAACAUGACUUCGACCUCUUCGGCGCCAACGAAAUCAUAUUCUCAAGGUUGGUGAAGACAAUGAGAUCGAUAAAUAUGGACGAAAGAUGAAGCUGCUCAAGAUCAUCUAUGGUACAAAGCACAAUGAUUCCAUGUUGUAGCCUCCUUUGACAGGGGUUUGUUUCGACUGUAAGACAUAUGCGCUCAUUCGUUCCUGCCAUUUAUGACAUAACAGUGGCUGACCCUAAAAGUACUCCUGCUCCUACAAUGCUAAGACUCUUAAAUAGGAAACCUUCUGUGAAAAUGAUAAAACAGAAAAUGAUAAAAAACAUUGGAGAAGGCAAAGUAUCCGAAUCAAACAAUGGUGAUACAGUUAUUGAUAUUCCACCAGACCUGUUGAUUACAGAAUUUGAGGACCCAAUCGUAGCAAUAGUUAAUUCUACAUAUCCGGAAUUUACGAGCAAUUCUUGCUUCUACAUUGGAGGAGACGUGCGUGAUUAUUUCAGUGCAAAUUCUAUUGAUAAGUCGGAAUUCCACGAUGUAACAUUGGUUGACAUCCUCACCCCAGAAUUUCUCAGUUCACUGCAAACAUCAGGAUUACCUAA